CAUCAGAUACCCUGAAACUGGAGUUAACAGAUGUUUGUGAGCCACUAUGCGGGUGCUGAGAAUCGAACCCGGGGUCUUCAGGAAGAGGUUCUAGAUGGCUGAGUCAUCUCUCCAACCCCAACAAUGAUUUAUUGAUUAACUUCAAGCACAGUUGGCGAUAAGAUAUGCUAGAGAUGGGGCGGGGGCGGGGGUUGGAGAUGGUUGUGCAAAAAGGAGGACAUAUUUAAUUCCAAGCCACACACUUAAAAAUGAUUAGAAUGAAAAAGGGGAAUGUCCAACUUUUUAAUAUAUUUCAUCACAAUAAAAGUAUGCAUACAAAAGAAUAUAAUAAUGUAAAGAUAAAACACAAACACCCAUAUUACUGAAUUAAGACAUAAAAAGUUAUAGUUUUCAGACUCUUAUGAAUGGUGUCCUCUUCUUCUCAACCAUAACUAUCUUUUCUUAUUUUUAAAGCAUUUUAAUGUUUUUCAGCCUUGAUAUGCCCCAUGCAUAAUUAUUACAUAGUUAUAAAUAACAUUUGAUAGGUUGUCAAAUUUGAUAGGUUACCAAAGCCAUAAUUUUGAAGUGGCUGUAGGUCACUCACACUGCCCUUGGAAUACAUUAAGUAAAUACUUGUAUCAUUUUUAUAUUCUUGCUCUAUGGAUACUUUCUUGCCCUUCGCUGUUCCCAACAGUGCAUCACUACACAUUCCCAUGUAUCCCGGGGCACAUGUCUGUGAGUGUCUAGAGACAGAGUCAGUAGAGAUGCUGCUGUGGGAGACAGAGCAUGAUCAGCUUUGCAUAAAGUCAGUCUUUAUACAUUCUUUUGUAAACUGUAGACUGUUCAGUUCACGCGCCCCUUGACUCCACAUAUCUGAUAAGGUUUUGAGAUGAAAUGUUUGCGCUUAUAAUUUGCGUUUUCCUCAAGCAAAUCAUCUCCCCAUUGCUUACAGUUCAUUCCUGUUUCCUCUUCAGUGAAAUGUGUGUUCACAACUACCCAGAAAUCCUCCGGGUGACUGCCGGAGAAGGAUAAAUCACCUUGAGGGUAUUGAAGGAAGUUCCCCGUGGAUGGGUAGAAACGGGCUUCCUGGAACCCCUGAAAACUGGCAUGAGUUGGAGAGAGGCGGUAGCUCCAUUUUCUGGGAAAGGGGGUGGGGAUAAACCUUUUAUGCUUUGUGGUUCUGGAAAAAAGAAAUCACUCAGACGCUAAAACGGGAAAGGAUUCUUCCCUCGGUGGAAACAAUCAAAACUCAACCCAAGUAGGUUGAAAUCAUUAAAGGAAUUUCUGAGUGUGUGUCACUGAGAAGUCCUGAGAUAGGAUGUGUGUCACGUUGUUAUCUCAGUUGAUCCAAAGGUUCGAGAGGUCAUGGAGCUCUGGGGACACUUUCUUGACUUCCUUGUCAACCCUAUUCUCAGGCUGGGUUCUACCACCCCACACCACCAAUGUCGCCGCCGCCUGGAUUUACUCUGACCCAGGCAUUGUUCUAGGUACUUAGUCUCUGUCAGCUCACUGAAUGCUCUUCAUACCCCUGUGUGGUGGGCAUUGUAACCCCAUUUUACAUCUGAAGACGCUCAAGAACAGUCCCAUCGAAAGCUAGUGGAUCUGCCUGCCCUGGAUGCAGGGGUCUAGAUCAGGACUCUGAGGAAGAUAAGGGAACGGGACCCUAGAUAGUACACAGAAUGGCUUAGCACACUCCUCACUCUAGGAACCACUUGUUGGAUGUUCUGUUCAGCAGUGUCCACCAGAGGGCAGAAAAAGAAAGGGACUGGAGACUUCCAACUGUCACGGGAGACCUGAGCUGCUUCAUAAGGACGAGGACGUCACAGGGUCUAAUAUAGCCCAUGCCGGCCGGCCUUGACCUCACCAUGUAGCUGAAGAUGACUUCGAGGUCCCCAUCCUCUGGCCUCUGCCUCCCAAGUGCUGGGAUUACAGGCAUGGGCCACCAUGCCAGUCUCAGAGUCCUGGUUUUAUACGGUGGAAGAGAAGAUCUCCAAUUUUCCUGCUUUGUUAUUUACCUUCCUACAGCACUUAUUCAACGUUACGUAGACACUACAUUUGCAAUUUCACAAAUAAA
Peromyscus maniculatus bairdii (prairie deer mouse) is the source of this 2053-nucleotide non-coding RNA. Lineage: Eukaryota; Metazoa; Chordata; Mammalia; Rodentia; Cricetidae. The record is from RefSeq and is a predicted model, not a curated record.